CUCAGCUUAAAUAUUUUUGUUUUCUGUGCAGUCUUCCCUGCCUCCCAGACUAGAUCCUGGGCUCUACCUGCGACACAUGUAACAGAGCUCAUGCUGGCAGCUACUGGGACAUCUUUCUCUGUGACUGGCGCUGAGUCUUGGAUCCAGGC
RNAcentral lists this long non-coding RNA (149 nucleotides) under Dasypus novemcinctus (nine-banded armadillo). RNAcentral's name for it is "lncRNA (ENSDNOG00000052657.1)". Lineage: Eukaryota; Metazoa; Chordata; Mammalia; Cingulata; Dasypodidae. The record is from RNAcentral.